GGAUUGGUCCUGACAUUGAAGACACCGCGUCGUCACUGGAAUAUCAAAAUCAAUUCUAAUCCCAUAUUGAGGAACUUGAUCAUAAAGCUGAGGAGCUCCAACAUUUCUCCAAUAAACACUAGCAUAACUUGUACAAUACUCAAGCAUCAACCUCAAUGAUUCAGUAGCUUUAGGUUUAUAAGAACAACAAGAACUACCACUCAUCGCAAAAGAACACUCUGGCAAAUGUCUACAAAGAUAACUAGCACUAUCACAAGAUGAAUCACAGUGUUCAGGAAAUUGUUCACAAAACACAGGCUUUGGUUUUACAAUAACUUUUUCUUCACUACAAUUGAAGAAAAUAUACUGAUUUUGAGACGAAAGCUUGAAACGUGUGCUUGUGUCUAAACUAAAUGGUCUUGUUGGUCGAUAAUUGACACCGUCUUCACAGUUCCACAUGAAUGGAUCAGUGACUACAAUGUGUGGAUCAAUAUAGCUAACAUUAUGAAUAGGGUAUCUACCAGAAGGUGUUCUUAGUUCAAGCUUUUGUGUAUCAGAACAAGAAAGAAUGAAUCUGUAAUAUGGACUUCCACAGCCAUCAUCAAUGGAAAAAGGAUAUUGGAUUGGAAUGGAACCACAUGAAGUUCUACAAAGGGUGGAUUGAGAUUUUGUGAGAAUGGAGAAUAAGUAAAUGAGUUGAAUUAUUGAUAGUAAUAAGAUUGGUUUUUGUUUUUUUGUGAUAAUUAGAUGGAAACUCAUCAUUAGAAUUUAGAGAUGAAUGCAUGAACAGAUACUAGGUUGAUG
This 783-nucleotide long non-coding RNA is filed under the name Medicago truncatula (barrel medic). RNAcentral describes it as "lncRNA gene27890". The record is from RNAcentral. Lineage: Eukaryota; Viridiplantae; Streptophyta; Magnoliopsida; Fabales; Fabaceae.